GACGGGGUAUUGUAACCGUCGGUUCCAUUAUUAACUUGUGGCUCCUCCACAAUUCCAAAAUACUCCAAUCACCCAAAACAAUAUACGCCUCAAUCAAAACAAAUAUCCCAUCCGAAUGAGAUAGUUGGCACUCACGCAGUGACUUGGUGUGUGAGCUGAGCCUGUCUCACUCUCACGGCGAUCUGUCAUGCUAGAGUGACAGCUCAUAUUCGUGCGGUGUGAACCGGCCUUUAUCAGCCAAUGAUGGUUCCAGCCCACAGGUGGAGCGUUAAUAGCGCAAAUACAGGCUGCGGAAAUGCGAAAAGCAUAAAUUUAUUUACCUUAGAUUCUGGGUUUCCUAUAAAUAGGAAAUAAAUCCCAGAAUCGUUCUCUUUUGGCUGGUGAAUCUAGAACGGUCUAGAAGUGCGCGCGUGUGUAGCUUUUUAUUAAAUAGAGGUGUUAGUCCGUUAGUAAAAACGGCUAAUUGUAGUACGUCGAAUUAAAAUUGUGUUAGUAGAAGUUAUGAUUGUAAAAAUCCGAUUGUUAAAAGUUAAUUGUUCAAACACAAACAUCGACAAACAAGAAGAAACUAUAAGAAAA
Armigeres subalbatus is the source of this 579-nucleotide long non-coding RNA. RefSeq lists it as uncharacterized. The record is from RefSeq and is a predicted model, not a curated record. NCBI's taxonomy places the organism in Eukaryota, Metazoa, Arthropoda, Insecta, Diptera, Culicidae. The transcript is spliced from 3 exons.